RNAcentral lists this ribosomal RNA (301 nucleotides) under uncultured bacterium. RNAcentral's name for it is "partial 16S ribosomal RNA". It matches the Rfam family "Bacterial small subunit ribosomal RNA", at positions 509 to 808 of the family's 1533-position model. The record is from RNAcentral.
CAGCAGCCGCGGUAAUACGUAGGUCCCGAGCGUUGUCCGGAUUUAUUGGGCAUAAAGCGAGCGCAGGCGGUUAGAUAAGUCUGAAGUUAAAGGCUGUGGCUUAACCAUAGUACGCUUUGGAGACUGUUUAACUUGAGUGCAAGAGGGGAGAGUGGAAUUCCAUGUGUAGCGGUGAAAUGCGUAGAUAUAUGGAGGAACACCGGUGGCGAAAGCGGCUCUCUGGCUUGUAACUGACGCUGAGGCUCGAAAACGUGGGGAGCAGACAGGAUUAGAUACCCCCGUAGUCCCUGUCUCUUAUACA